This 406-nucleotide ribosomal RNA is filed under the name uncultured bacterium. Its description in RNAcentral is "partial 16S ribosomal RNA". It matches the Rfam family "Bacterial small subunit ribosomal RNA", at positions 30 to 526 of the family's 1533-position model. The record is from RNAcentral.
AUUGAACGCUGGCGGCAGGCCUAACACAUGCAAGUCGAGCGAGCGGCGGACGGGUGAGUAAUGUCUGGGAAACUGCCUGAUAGAGGGGGAUAACUACUGGAAACGGUAGCUAAUACCGCAUACCAUCAGAUGUGCCCAGAUGGGAUUAGCUGGUAGGUGGGGUAACGGCUCACCUAGGCGACGAUCCCUAGCUGGUCUGAGAGGAUGACCAGCCACACUGGAACUGAGACACGGUCCAGACUCCUACGGGAGGCAGCAGUGGGGAAUAUUGCACAAUGGGCGCAAGCCUGAUGCAGCCAUGCCGCGUGUGUGAAGAAGGCCUUCGGGUUGUAAAGCACUUUCAGCAGGGAGGCGUUACCUGCAGAAGAAGCACCGGCUAACUACGUGCCAGCAGCCGCGGUAAUAC